Molecule: ribosomal RNA, 498 nt
Filed under: uncultured bacterium
Lineage: Bacteria
Description: partial 16S ribosomal RNA
Rfam family: Bacterial small subunit ribosomal RNA
Source: RNAcentral
GGAUGAACGCUGGCGGCGUGCCUAAUACAUGCAAGUCGAGCGAACAGACGAGGAGCUUGCUCCUCUGACGUUAGCGGCGGACGGGUGAGUAACACGUGGAUAACCUACCUAUAAGACUGGGAUAACUUCGGGAAACCGGAGCUAAUACCGGAUAAUAUAUUGAACCGCAUGGUUCAAUAGUGAAAGACGGUUUUGCUGUCACUUAUAGAUGGAUCCGCGCCGCAUUAGCUAGUUGGUAAGGUAACGGCUUACCAAGGCGACGAUGCGUAGCCGACCUGAGAGGGUGAUCGGCCACACUGGAACUGAGACACGGUCCAGACUCCUACGGGAGGCAGCAGUAGGGAAUCUUCCGCAAAGGGCGAAAGCCUGACGGAGCAACGCCGCGUGAGUGAUGAAGGUCUUCGGAUCGUAAAACUCUGUUAUUAGGGAAGAACAAAUGUGUAAGUAACUAUGCACGUCUUGACGGUACCUAAUCAGAAAGCCACGGCUAACUACGUG